Prunus persica (peach) is the source of this 2678-nucleotide long non-coding RNA. RefSeq lists it as uncharacterized. Lineage: Eukaryota; Viridiplantae; Streptophyta; Magnoliopsida; Rosales; Rosaceae. The record is from RefSeq and is a predicted model, not a curated record. The transcript is spliced from 2 exons.
GUUUGAAAAAUAUUAUAAAAAUCUUAGGGUGAAACCCUAAUUUAUAUUUGUUUUCCUUUCUUUCUUUUCUCCAGCCGCCCCAUUCUUUUUCCUCUUCCUCCAUCUAAACGUUUCUUCUCACUUCUUAUCUCUCUCUCUCUCUCUCUCUCUCACACCUUCCUGACCAUUCUCCUUCCUUAUUCUUUUCCUCCUCCUCCUCCUCUCUUUCUCUUCGUGGCCAUAUUUCCUCUUCUUCGGGCAAUAAUAUAGAUAGACACCAUUUAUUAGAAAACUAAACAACAAUACUGAUGGAAUACCACUGCAAGUAUGCACCAAAGUUUCUACAAGUCUUCCUGUCAAAAUUGUGUUUGGCUAUGACCUUCGAAAUUCUUCCAAGAACUGUGAAAAGAUUUAAUUUCCGAAAGUUCUGACUUUGCCGAAAAUUCCGCAUUGGAAUGGUAUUAUUAUAUUCCGAAAUUUCGGAAUCGGCAUCGGAAAUGAAUAUGACUUUCGAAUAUUUUCGGAUUGGAAUUCGAAACUCCUAUUUCCGAUCCGUUCUGGCCGAAGAAUAGCCCUAUGUAUGUGAAUUAGUUAGACAGUUGUAUUGGUUAGUUAGUUAAACUUUACUUAACAUGUAUAAAAUGUAAUAGUAUUGUAGCUUAAAAGAUGAAGAAAUACAUAAACCAAUAUUGCGAAUUUCUCUAUAUUUCUCCUUCCUUCUUCUUUAGUACUCUUCUUUAUACUUCUCUGAAUAUGUUGGUUAACAUGGUAUCAAUGUCCUUAGUGGUUUUCACACAAUCAAUCCAUCCUUUCUGCGCUUUCUUUGUCUUUCAAUUCAGUCAUUUCCUCGUUCUCUUUGUUUUUCUUCCCUUUUUCUCUCUGUUUCUUUCUCUUAAUUUCAAUUCUAGGUUUUCUCUCUGCUUGACCAUGGCUUUUUCUUCCUCCAUCAAGAUUGAUGGCUUGCUCAAUAUGGUUACAAUUCGUAUCAGUGACAAUAAUUUCUUGAAAUGGAGUUUUCAAUUGUACUCUUUGUUGCAAGGGUCUGAGCUUUUUGAGCAUUUCGAUGGCUCUAUUGUUCCGCCACUAAAAUUUGCAAUUUUGGAUGAACUGGGUGUUAUCUCUCAAGUCAUAGCUACUUACAAGGUAUGGAUGAAGACUAUCAAGGCACUUCUCAACUUGCUCAUCGCCACUAUGUCAGAUAAAGCUUUGGAAUAUGUCAUUGGGACUAAGACAGCUUGAGAAGCUUGACUCAAUUUGGUGGAUCGUUAUGCCUCGGUUUCAAAUGCUUGCAUUAAUCACUUGAAGGCUGAAAAUCAAACUGCUCGGAAAGGGGGGGAAGGAUUCCUUCUUCAUUUAAAGCACGUUCGAGAUCAGCUUACUCAAGCAGGUGUGAAGGUCUCAAAUGAUGAUUUGAUGAUUGCUACACUCAAUGGUCUACCUCCUGAAUAUGAUAUGAUCAAGAUUGUCUUGAUUGCAAGGGAUUCCUCAAUUUCUUUGAAGGAUUUCAAAGCUCAAUUGCUAGUUGUUGAAGCUCGAAUCUUAACCCAUUAUGCUAUGUUUACCUCUCACCAUCCUUCAUUUGGGUAUAAUUCUAUUGCUUCUUCUUCCACUAGGUAUGCUCCGCUGUCUGUAUCUCAAAACAAUUCAUCUAUGCCUACUAUUACAGAUUUACUACCUACCCCUUCUGGUUCAGCAGUUGGAUUUUAUGCUUCUAAUGCUCAUAAUCGAUAUACUGGUCCGUGUGGUUCUCCUUCUAAUGGCUCUAAUGGUUUUGGUAGAGGAAAGUUUUGUAAUGGUGGUUUUGGUAAAUGAGUCUCUUCAUCUUCUCAGAUGUAUGGCUCACAGUUUUCUGGCUCAAAGUUUGGUUAUGAUUCUUUUCAUAAGAGCAAUAUUGUCCCUGAAUGUCAAAUUUGUUGCAAGAGUGACCAUACAACUACCAACUGCUAUUUUAGGCAUGAUGCUUCUCCUUCUCAAGGAUUUGCACAGGUGAUUGAAUGCUAGAUUUGUGGCAAGAGGGGUCGUGGAGCUCUUGAUUGCUUCCAUAGAUCCAAGUACUCUUAUCAGGGGCAUCCUCUAUCUCCCAAGCUCUCAUCUAUGAUUGCACAAAGCUCUUAUAUGCCUAAUCAUGUCUGGAUUGCUGAUAGUGACGCAUAUCACCAUAUCGUGGCUGAUGUCUCAUCUUUGCAUCAUGUUACUCCAUGUGAAUCUACAGAACAAGUUCUAGUGGGAAAUGGAGAAGGACAAGCAAACCACGAACAUCUUACUCAAAGGAUUGAGUCGUAAUGGUAUCUAUCCAAUCCCACGUACAUUGCCUCAAUCAGUUUCCUAGCCUUCACAGUCAGAGGCUAUAGCUUUUCUUGGAUAGCAAGUUAGUUCAUCUUUGUGGCAUCAAAGACUUGGUCAUCCCACCAAUGCCAUAGCCAAAAUGAUGCUCAAGAAUUCAAAGUUAGUGUAUACAAAUGAUGAUUCAAGUGUAAUUUGCUCUUCUUGUGCACAAGCUGCAUUUUACAAAGACUCGUGUUAAAUCUAGGAUUCAUUUUUCUAGAAUCCAUAGUGAUGUCUGGGGCCCUUUCCAUUUCAAGUCUCUAGAUGGUUAUAGGUACUUUGUAUCAUUUUUAGAUGAAUAUACUGGUUACUUGUGGCUUUAUCCACUAUUCAAUAAAUCAGAAGUUUUUUCUAAGUUUCUUCAUUUCAUUGCA